Molecule: ribosomal RNA, 468 nt
Filed under: uncultured bacterium
Lineage: Bacteria
Description: partial 16S ribosomal RNA
Rfam family: Bacterial small subunit ribosomal RNA
Source: RNAcentral
GACGAACGCUGGCGGCGUGCUUAACACAUGCAAGUCGAACGGAAAGGCCCUGCUUUUGUGGGGUGCUCGAGUGGCGAACGGGUGAGUAACACGUGAGUAACCUGCCCUUGACUUUGGGAUAACUUCAGGAAACUGGGGCUAAUACCGGAUAGGAGCUCCUGCUGCAUGGUGGGGGUUGGAAAGUUUCGGCGGUUGGGGAUGGACUCGCGGCUUAUCAGCUUGUUGGUGGGGUAGUGGCUUACCAAGGCUUUGACGGGUAGCCGGCCUGAGAGGGUGACCGGCCACAUUGGGACUGAGGUACGGCCCAGACUCCUACGGGAGGCAGCAGUGGGGAAUAUUGCACAGUGGGCGGAAGCCUGAUGCAGCAGCGCCGCGUGCGGGAUGACGGCCUUCGGGUUGUAAACCGCUUUCGCCUGUGACGAAGCGUGAGUGACGGUAAUGGGUAAAGAAGCACCGGCUAACUACGUG